This 270-nucleotide long non-coding RNA is filed under the name Homo sapiens (human). RNAcentral describes it as "non-protein coding lnc-ZNF649-3:2". The record is from RNAcentral. Lineage: Eukaryota; Metazoa; Chordata; Mammalia; Primates; Hominidae.
CGCGUCUGCAGUGUGUGGGGUUCGCGGGGCGGCGGGUAGAGGCGAGUGUUUAGAGACUUCGGGUCCCUGACUCGCCUCCAGCAGUGGAGACAGGUCAUCGGUCUGAUCUGCAUUACCGUUGGAAAACAGCAGCCUCAGAACCACAGUAGCCAUGAAGACCAUCAGCCUUCAACCACCACCCUUGUAUCAGAGGAGACAAAUAAGCUUGGAAAUCCUCAAAAAGCCUCAUCCUCAGAGCAAUGUCAUUAUAUAUCUUGUCUUACAGCUCCA